This 1657-nucleotide ribosomal RNA is filed under the name Vibrio mediterranei. Its description in RNAcentral is "bacterial LSU rRNA". It matches the Rfam family "Bacterial large subunit ribosomal RNA", at positions 161 to 1858 of the family's 2925-position model. Lineage: Bacteria; Pseudomonadati; Pseudomonadota; Gammaproteobacteria; Vibrionales; Vibrionaceae. The record is from RNAcentral.
AAUACAUAGCUCAGCGAGGCGAACCGGGGGAACUGAAACAUCUAAGUACCCCGAGGAAGAGAAAUCAACCGAGAUUCCGAAAGUAGCGGCGAGCGAAAUUGGAUUAGCCCUUAAGCUUUUAAUGAGACAGGUGAAGGCUCUGGAAAGUGCCGCGAUACAGGGUGAUAGCCCCGUAACCGACAUCUCAUCAUCAGUGAAAUCGAGUAGGGCGGGACACGUGAUAUCCUGUCUGAAUAUGGGGGGACCAUCCUCCAAGGCUAAAUACUACUGACUGACCGAUAGUGAACCAGUACCGUGAGGGAAAGGCGAAAAGAACCCCUGUGAGGGGAGUGAAAUAGAACCUGAAACCGUGUACGUACAAGCAGUAGGAGCACCUUCGUGGUGUGACUGCGUACCUUUUGUAUAAUGGGUCAGCGACUUAUAUUCAGUGGCAAGGUUAACCGUUUAGGGGAGCCGUAGGGAAACCGAGUCUUAACUGGGCGUUCAGUCUCUGGAUAUAGACCCGAAACCAGGUGAUCUAGCCAUGGGCAGGUUGAAGGUUGAGUAACAUCAACUGGAGGACCGAACCGACUAAUGUUGAAAAAUUAGCGGAUGACUUGUGGCUAGGGGUGAAAGGCCAAUCAAACCUGGAGAUAGCUGGUUCUCCCCGAAAUCUAUUUAGGUAGAGCCUCGGAYGAAUACUACUGGGGGUAGAGCACUGUUAAGGCUAGGGGGUCAUCCCGACUUACCAACCCUUUGCAAACUCCGAAUACCAGUAAGUACUAUCCGGGAGACACACGGCGGGUGCUAACGUCCGUCGUGGAGAGGGAAACAACCCAGACCGCCAGCUAAGGUCCCAAAGUAUAGCUAAGUGGGAAACGAUGUGGGAAGGCUUAGACAGCUAGGAUGUUGGCUUAGAAGCAGCCAUCAUUUAAAGAAAGCGUAAUAGCUCACUAGUCGAGUCGGCCUGCGCGGAAGAUGUAACGGGGCUAAGCUAUACACCGAAGCUGCGGCAAUGUGUUUACACAUUGGGUAGGGGAGCGUUCUGUAAGCCGUUGAAGGUGGACUGUAAGGUYUGCUGGAGGUAUCAGAAGUGCGAAUGCUGACAUGAGUAACGAUAAAGGGGGUGAAAAACCUCCUCGCCGGAAGACCAAGGGUUCCUGUCCAACGUUAAUCGGGGCAGGGUAAGUCGACCCCUAAGGCGAGGCCGAAAGGCGUAGUCGAUGGGAAACGGGUUAAUAUUCCCGUACUUCUUACAAUUGCGAUGGGGGGACGGAGAAGGCUAGGUGGGCCUGGCGACGGUUGUCCAGGUUCAAGUGCGUAGGCUUAAGGUUUAGGUAAAUCCGGACCUUUUUAAGGCUGAGACACGAUGUCGAGCUACUACGGUAGUGAAGUCAUUGAUGCCAUGCUUCCAGGAAAAGCCUCUAAGCUUCAGAUUGUAAGGAAUCGUACCCCAAACCGACACAGGUGGUCGGGUAGAGAAUACCAAGGCGCUUGAGAGAACUCGGGUGAAGGAACUAGGCAAAAUGGUACCGUAACUUCGGGAGAAGGUACGCUCUUAGUGGUGAAGUCCCUUGCGGAUGGAGCUACCGAGAGUCGCAGAUACCAGGUGGCUGCAACUGUUUAUUAAAAACACAGCACUGUGCAAAAUCGCAAGAUGACGUAUACGGUGUGACGC